Molecule: ribosomal RNA, 1542 nt
Filed under: Enterobacter hormaechei
Lineage: Bacteria; Pseudomonadati; Pseudomonadota; Gammaproteobacteria; Enterobacterales; Enterobacteriaceae
Also listed under: 1 other name
Description: bacterial SSU rRNA
Rfam family: Bacterial small subunit ribosomal RNA
Source: RNAcentral
AAAUUGAAGAGUUUGAUCAUGGCUCAGAUUGAACGCUGGCGGCAGGCCUAACACAUGCAAGUCGAACGGUAACAGGAAGCAGCUUGCUGCUUUGCUGACGAGUGGCGGACGGGUGAGUAAUGUCUGGGAAACUGCCUGAUGGAGGGGGAUAACUACUGGAAACGGUAGCUAAUACCGCAUAACGUCGCAAGACCAAAGAGGGGGACCUUAGGGCCUCUUGCCAUCGGAUGUGCCCAGAUGGGAUUAGCUAGUAGGUGGGGUAACGGCUCACCUAGGCGACGAUCCCUAGCUGGUCUGAGAGGAUGACCAGCCACACUGGAACUGAGACACGGUCCAGACUCCUACGGGAGGCAGCAGUGGGGAAUAUUGCACAAUGGGCGCAAGCCUGAUGCAGCCAUGCCGCGUGUAUGAAGAAGGCCUUCGGGUUGUAAAGUACUUUCAGCGGGGAGGAAGGCGAUAAGGUUAAUAACCUUGUCGAUUGACGUUACCCGCAGAAGAAGCACCGGCUAACUCCGUGCCAGCAGCCGCGGUAAUACGGAGGGUGCAAGCGUUAAUCGGAAUUACUGGGCGUAAAGCGCACGCAGGCGGUCUGUCAAGUCGGAUGUGAAAUCCCCGGGCUCAACCUGGGAACUGCAUUCGAAACUGGCAGGCUAGAGUCUUGUAGAGGGGGGUAGAAUUCCAGGUGUAGCGGUGAAAUGCGUAGAGAUCUGGAGGAAUACCGGUGGCGAAGGCGGCCCCCUGGACAAAGACUGACGCUCAGGUGCGAAAGCGUGGGGAGCAAACAGGAUUAGAUACCCUGGUAGUCCACGCCGUAAACGAUGUCGACUUGGAGGUUGUGCCCUUGAGGCGUGGCUUCCGGAGCUAACGCGUUAAGUCGACCGCCUGGGGAGUACGGCCGCAAGGUUAAAACUCAAAUGAAUUGACGGGGGCCCGCACAAGCGGUGGAGCAUGUGGUUUAAUUCGAUGCAACGCGAAGAACCUUACCUACUCUUGACAUCCAGAGAACUUUCCAGAGAUGGAUUGGUGCCUUCGGGAACUCUGAGACAGGUGCUGCAUGGCUGUCGUCAGCUCGUGUUGUGAAAUGUUGGGUUAAGUCCCGCAACGAGCGCAACCCUUAUCCUUUGUUGCCAGCGGUUAGGCCGGGAACUCAAAGGAGACUGCCAGUGAUAAACUGGAGGAAGGUGGGGAUGACGUCAAGUCAUCAUGGCCCUUACGAGUAGGGCUACACACGUGCUACAAUGGCGCAUACAAAGAGAAGCGACCUCGCGAGAGCAAGCGGACCUCAUAAAGUGCGUCGUAGUCCGGAUUGGAGUCUGCAACUCGACUCCAUGAAGUCGGAAUCGCUAGUAAUCGUGGAUCAGAAUGCCACGGUGAAUACGUUCCCGGGCCUUGUACACACCGCCCGUCACACCAUGGGAGUGGGUUGCAAAAGAAGUAGGUAGCUUAACCUUCGGGAGGGCGCUUACCACUUUGUGAUUCAUGACUGGGGUGAAGUCGUAACAAGGUAACCGUAGGGGAACCUGCGGUUGGAUCACCUCCUUA